Molecule: ribosomal RNA, 497 nt
Filed under: uncultured bacterium
Lineage: Bacteria
Description: partial 16S ribosomal RNA
Rfam family: Bacterial small subunit ribosomal RNA
Source: RNAcentral
GAUGAACGCUGGCGGCGUGCCUAAUACAUGCAAGUCGAGCGAACGGACGAGAAGCUUGCGUCUCUGAUGUUAGCGGCGGACGGGCGAGUAACACGUGGAUAACCUACCUAUAAGACUGGGAUAAUUUCGGGAAACCGGAGCUAAUACCGGAUAAUAUUUUGAACCGCAUGGGUCAAAAGAGAAAGACGGUCUUGCUGGCAGGAAUAGAUGGAUCCGCGCUGCAUUAGCUAGUUGGUAAGGUAACGGCUUACCAAGGCAACGAUGCGUAGCCGACCUGAGAGGGUGAUCGGCCACACUGGAACUGAGACACGGUCCAGACUCCUACGGGAGGCAGCAGUAGGGAAUCUUCCGCAAUGGGCGAAAGCCUGACGGAGCAACGCCGCGUGAGUGAUGAAGGUCUUCGGAUCGUAAAGCUCUGUUAUUAGGGAAGAACAUAUGUGUCAUUAACUGUGCCCAUCUUGACGGUACCUAAUCAGAAAGCCCCGGCUAACUACGUG